UAGGGAAUCUUCGGCAAUGGGGGGAACCCUGACCGAGCAACGCCGCGUGAGUGAAGAAGGUUUUCGGAUCGUAAAGCUCUGUUGUUAAGGAAGAACGAGUGUGAGAAUGGAAAGUUCAUACUGUGACGGUACUUAACCAGAAAGGGACGGCUAACUACGUGCCAGCAGCCGCGGUAAUACGUAGGUCCCGAGCGUUGUCCGGAUUUAUUGGGCGUAAAGCGAGCGCAGGCGGUUAGAUAAGUCUGAAGUUAAAGGCAGUGGCUCAACCAUUGUAGGCUUUGGAAACUGUUUAACUUGAGUGCAGAAGGGGAGAGUGGAAUUCCAUGUGUAGCGGUGAAAUGCGUAGAUAUAUGAAGGAACACCGGUGGCGAAAGCGGCUCUCUGGUCUGUAACUGACGCUGAGGCUCGAAAGCGUGGGGAGCGAACAGG
Molecule: ribosomal RNA, 429 nt
Filed under: Bacteroidota bacterium
Lineage: Bacteria; Pseudomonadati; Bacteroidota
Description: Bacteroidetes bacterium partial 16S ribosomal RNA
Rfam family: Bacterial small subunit ribosomal RNA
Source: RNAcentral